RNAcentral lists this ribosomal RNA (792 nucleotides) under Salmonella enterica subsp. enterica serovar Dublin. RNAcentral's name for it is "partial 23S ribosomal RNA". It matches the Rfam family "Bacterial large subunit ribosomal RNA", at positions 711 to 1504 of the family's 2925-position model. Lineage: Bacteria; Pseudomonadati; Pseudomonadota; Gammaproteobacteria; Enterobacterales; Enterobacteriaceae. The record is from RNAcentral.
AGACCCGAAACCCGGUGAUCUAGCCAUGGGCAGGUUGAAGGUUGGGUAACACUAACUGGAGGACCGAACCGACUAAUGUUGAAAAAUUAGCGGAUGACCUGUGGCUGGGGGUGAAAGGCCAAUCAAACCGGGAGAUAGCUGGUUCUCCCCGAAAGCUAUUUAGGUAGCGCCUCGUGAAUUCAUCUCCGGGGGUAGAGCACUGUUUCGGCUAGGGGGCCAUCCCGGCUUACCAACCCGAUGCAAACUGCGAAUACCGGAGAAUGUUAUCACGGGAGACACACGGCGGGUGCUAACGUCCGUCGUGAAGAGGGAAACAACCCAGACCGCCAGCUAAGGUCCCAAAGUCAUGGUUAAGUGGGAAACGAUGUGGGAAGGCCCAGACAGCCAGGAUGUUGGCUUAGAAGCAGCCAUCAUUUAAAGAAAGCGUAAUAGCUCACUGGUCGAGUCGGCCUGCGCGGAAGAUGUAACGGGGCUAAACCAUGCACCGAAGCUGCGGCAGCGACGCUUAUGCGUUGUUGGGUAGGGGAGCGUUCUGUAAGCCUGUGAAGGUGGCCUGUGAGGGUUGCUGGAGGUAUCAGAAGUGCGAAUGCUGACAUAAGUAACGAUAAAGCGGGUGAAAAGCCCGCUCGCCGGAAGACCAAGGGUUCCUGUCCAACGUUAAUCGGGGCAGGGUGAGUCGACCCCUAAGGCGAGGCCGAAAGGCGUAGUCGAUGGGAAACGGGUUAAUAUUCCCGUACUUGGUGUUACUGCGAAGGGGGGACGGAGAAGGCUAUGUUGGCCGGGCGACGGUUG